Molecule: ribosomal RNA, 114 nt
Filed under: Alcanivorax sp. HI0083
Lineage: Bacteria; Pseudomonadati; Pseudomonadota; Gammaproteobacteria; Oceanospirillales; Alcanivoracaceae
Description: partial 16S ribosomal RNA
Rfam family: Bacterial small subunit ribosomal RNA
Source: RNAcentral
UUAACUGAAGAGUUUGAUCAUGGCUCAGAUUGAACGCUGGCGGCAGGCCUAACACAUGCAAGUCGAGCGGAAACGAUCCUAGCUUGCUAGGAGGCGUCGAGCGGCGGACGGGUG